Molecule: transfer RNA, 75 nt
Filed under: Pterocladiophila hemisphaerica
Lineage: Eukaryota; Rhodophyta; Florideophyceae; Gracilariales; Pterocladiophilaceae
Description: tRNA-His
Rfam family: tRNA
About the family: Transfer RNA (tRNA) molecules are approximately 80 nucleotides in length. Their secondary structure includes four short double-helical elements and three loops (D, anti-codon, and T loops).
Source: RNAcentral
GGCGAAUAUAGCCAAGUGGUGACGGUAAUAGACUGUGACUCUACAAUUCGCGGGUUCGAAUCCCGUUAUUCGCCU